Coffea arabica (coffee) is the source of this 1931-nucleotide non-coding RNA. The record is from RefSeq and is a predicted model, not a curated record. NCBI's taxonomy places the organism in Eukaryota, Viridiplantae, Streptophyta, Magnoliopsida, Gentianales, Rubiaceae.
CAACGGAGGCAGCAGCCGCCGUCAUCAAAGAUGCAGAUCUUCAUGAAAACCUUGACGGGGAAGACCAUCAACCUUCACCAUCGACAAUGUCAAGGCCAAAAUCCAGGACAAGGAGGGCAUCCCCCUGGACCAUCAGUGCCUCAUCUUCGCCGACAAAUAGCUAGAGGAUGGUUGCACCCUAGUCGACUACAACAUCUAGAAGGAGUCCACCCUCCACCUCAUCCUCCGCCUCCGUGGUGGCGUCAAGAAGCUCAAGAAGAAGACCUACACCAAGCCCAAGAAGAUCAAGCAUAAGAAGAAGAAGGUCAAGCUUGCCAUCCUCCAGUUCUACAAGGUCAAUGCUCAGGAAUUCAAGGUGGGGGAUGAAGUAUUCGAAAACAUUGACAAAGCCAAAGGGAUGUGGGUCACUGGCGGAGUACACUACAGUGGAGGAGAAGGUACUUGCUUCAAAGCCCAAGAAUUUGAGUUUUGCUGAGGCUGCUAGCCUUCCUGUUGCCGUUGAAUAGCGUACAGGAGAGUUGAAAGCGCUUUCAACUGGUAAAUCACUUCUUGUUCUGGGUGGUGCUGGUGGAGUCGGAUCUUUUAUCAUUCAGCUGCUACUGUCUUUCUUGUACCUUUUUUGGAGAGGAAGGGAAAUUUCCUGAGGAUUGGAAAUGAUUCAGAUAGGUUGUCUUCAAUUGAGUCAAAAAGUGCAUUGGUUGGGAAUGAGAGCCAAAAAAUGAAGGGUUAUUGUCUGCUACAUCCUCCUCACAUUGCAAGCUGCUGAAGGAGGUACCUGAGUUUCAACAUUGCAUUUGAAGAACAAGCGUAAAAAGGGAAGUUUUCUUACCAAAUUAUGUUUUAAGUGUUUAGAAUUCCCAUUCAUAUAUACAAUGUUGCAUUUCCAGUAUAUUCAAGUGAGUUUUAGUGAUAACAUAUUUAUAAAUGCUCAUGGACUCAUUUGAUGUGCAUUUCAUGCCCAAAGGUGCCAUUUUGGUGUAAAAGUGCAAAGAUGACCAAAGAAACUCACCCCUCGUUUUGCAAUGUAGAUGUGUUUGAUGUGUUUUGAGAGGUUGGAUAUUUUGUUUAUGGUAUAUUACACUUGCGUGGGGGUUGGAUUUGAUAAAAAGUUUAUCCAAUGUGUAAUUUGGAAUUGGCCUAAAAAUGGAGAAAAAGUUUGAAAAAUUGCAGUUUCUGCAAUUAGUGCAGAAAUGUGCUGAUCCGAGCUUGGAUCCGACAAAACCCAGACGAAUCCGACCUCGGAUCGGUUGAGGACCAAAGGCGAAAUUAGAAGAUCCGACCUCGGAUCCUAAGUUUUUCGCUCGGAUCUGAGGGCUCGUCUGUGUUUCUAAAAGGCCGGAUCCGAGCCUAUAGGAUCCGAGCUUUGGUAUACACGAUCCGACUUCGGAUUAAGUAUUCUUGAAAAAUUCAGAAUGGGGAAUCCAAGCUCGGAUCCAACAAAAUUCAGUCGGAUCCAAGGGCUCGGCUGAACAUCUGAAGUAGCAGAUCCGAACCCUGUCGGAUCCGAGGGCUGCUAGAAUCGAUCCGUGCUCAGAUCGGUUCGCGGAUAUAGCAGAACCGAAGCCUCGGUUCUGCCAUUUUCUAGCUUUUUCCUAUUUCUCUUCACCGAACCCUAGCCUCCUUUCUCCAAUCUCCUAAUUUACCCACCAAACUUCCAUUUUUUAACCAUAAAAACAUCUCCCUACCACUUGUGAUUAUUAACCCUAAACAAAUUCGCAUCAAAACAACAUUCAAAAGGGAUUUUAAUCAUCUUCAAGAGACUUUGGGGUCAACUGAAAUUCUUCAAUUUCGGGUCGAAUUUGGGUUGUUUUCUCCCUCUUUUUGGCAUCAUUAUCAUCCCAUAGCAUCACUCUUCACAUUUGAGGUAAGAAAUUUCAACUUUCUUUGUUAUUUCACAUUUCCUAUUUCUUAUUUUUUUGUAUUUUUCUAUA